RNAcentral lists this ribosomal RNA (500 nucleotides) under uncultured bacterium. Its description in RNAcentral is "partial 16S ribosomal RNA". It matches the Rfam family "Bacterial small subunit ribosomal RNA", at positions 29 to 523 of the family's 1533-position model. The record is from RNAcentral.
AUUGAACGCUAGCGGGAUGCUUUACACAUGCAAGUCGAACGGCAGCGCGGACUUCGGUCUGGCGGCGAGUGGCGAACGGGUGAGUAAUGUAUCGGAACGUGCCCAGUAGCGGGGGAUAACUACGCGAAAGCGUAGCUAAUACCGCAUACGCCCUACGGGGGAAAGGGGGGGAUCGCAAGACCUCUCACUAUUGGAGCGGCCGAUAUCGGAUUAGCUAGUUGGUGAGGUAAAGGCUCACCAAGGCGACGAUCCGUAGCUGGUUUGAGAGGACGACCAGCCACACUGGGACUGAGACACGGCCCAGACUCCUACGGGAGGCAGCAGUGGGGAAUUUUGGACAAUGGGGGCAACCCUGAUCCAGCCAUCCCGCGUGUGCGAUGAAGGCCUUCGGGUUGUAAAGCACUCUUGGCAGGGAAGAAAAGUUUCGGGCUAACACCCUGGAGCGAUGACGGUACCUGCAGAAUAAGCACCGGCUAACUACGUGCCAGCCGCCGCGGUAA